RNAcentral lists this non-coding RNA (48 nucleotides) under Nocardia rhamnosiphila NBRC 108938. RNAcentral's name for it is "L31-Actinobacteria ribosomal protein leader". It matches the Rfam family "L31-Actinobacteria ribosomal protein leader". The record is from RNAcentral. Lineage: Bacteria; Bacillati; Actinomycetota; Actinomycetes; Mycobacteriales; Nocardiaceae.
UCGGUUCCGGUUCACGUUCGAGGUAGAUGCCCGAGCGACCCGGCGACC